CCUACGGGAGGCAGCAGUGAGGAAUAUUGGUCAAUGGCCGUAAGGCUGAACCAGCCAAGUCGCGUGAAGGAAGAAGUAUUUCGGUACGUAAAGCUCUAUCAGCAGGGAAGAAAAUGACGGUACCUGACUAAGAAGCCCCGGCUAACUACGUGCCAGCAGCCGCGGUAAUACGUAGGGGGCAAGCGUUAUCCGGAUUUACUGGGUGUAAAGGGAGCGUAGACGGCAGCGCAAGUCUGGAGUGAAAUCCCAUGGCUUAACCAUGGAACUGCUUUGGAAACUGUGCAGCUGGAGUGCAGGAGAGGUAAGCGGAAUUCCUAGUGUAGCGGUGAAAUGCGUAGAUAUUAGGAGGAACACCAGUGGCGAAGGCGGCUUACUGGACUGUAACUGACGUUGAGGCUCGAAAGCGUGGGGAGCAAACAGGAUUAGAUACCCUUGUAGUC
This 440-nucleotide ribosomal RNA is filed under the name uncultured bacterium. Its description in RNAcentral is "partial 16S ribosomal RNA". It matches the Rfam family "Bacterial small subunit ribosomal RNA", at positions 338 to 795 of the family's 1533-position model. The record is from RNAcentral.